AGUGAACGCUGGCGGUAGGCCUAACACAUGCAAGUCGAACGGCAGCACAGUAAGAGCUUGCUCUUACGGGUGGCGAGUGGCGGACGGGUGAGGAAUACAUCGGAAUCUACUUUUUCGUGGGGGAUAACGUGGGGAAACUUACGCUAACACCGCAUACGACCUACGGGUGAAAGCAGGGGAUCUUCGGACCUUGCGCGAUUGAAUGAGCCGAUGUCGGAUUAGCUAGUUGGCGGGGUAAAGGCCCACCAAGGCGACGAUCCGUAGCUGGUCUGAGAGGAUGAUCAGCCACACUGGAACUGAGACACGGUCCAGACUCCUACGGGAGGCAGCAGUGGGGAAUAUUGGACAAUGGGCGCAAGCCUGAUCCAGCCAUACCGCGUGGGUGAAGAAGGCCUUCGGGUUGUAAAGCCCUUUUGUUGGGAAAGAAAAGCAGCAGGUUAAUACCCCGCUGUUCUGACGGUACCCGAAGAAUAAGCACCGGCUAACUUCGUG
Molecule: ribosomal RNA, 492 nt
Filed under: uncultured bacterium
Lineage: Bacteria
Description: partial 16S ribosomal RNA
Rfam family: Bacterial small subunit ribosomal RNA
Source: RNAcentral